RNAcentral lists this small RNA (1006 nucleotides) under Pongo abelii (Sumatran orangutan). Its description in RNAcentral is "retained intron". The record is from RNAcentral. Lineage: Eukaryota; Metazoa; Chordata; Mammalia; Primates; Hominidae.
ACGCCCUGCACCGGCAGAUGAAGCUUCUGGGAGAGGACAGCCCGGUCAGCAAACUGCAGGUCAAGCUGGAGCCAGGAGUGAAUCCCAGCCACCUGAUGAACCUGUUCACCUACGAGAAGGGCUACUGCUUCGUGUACUACCUGUCCCAGCUCUGCGGAGACCCACAGCGCUUUGAUGACUUUCUCCGAGUGAGCAGCCCCCUGCCCGGGACAGCCCUGCUGCCAUCUGCCCCCAGCCCCUCCCCAGCUCACAGGGCUGCCUGCUCUUCUGGCAGUUGGGGUGGAAUUGGCAGGGGCCUGUGAGCCUGGCUGGGACCUAGUCUGCCUUUCUUUGUGGGGAGUGCCUGGGUUGCCACCUCCCCUUCUCCCACCCUCUAUUUGGUCCCUUGGCAGGGCCUGUGUGCCAAGUGCUGGCUCCGCAGUGCCCACUAGCUGCCUCUGUGCCCAGCACGUACCUUGGCGCAUGCGCUGCAGUGCCCUGCAGGCCUCUGGUGGGGCUGCCUGUGCCCCGCCCCUCCAGGCCUGCUGAGGCCCCACCUCUGCCACACAGGCCUACGUGGAGAAGUACAAGUUCACCAGCGUGGUGGCCCAGGACCUGCUGGACUCCUUCCUGAGCUUCUUCCCGGAGCUGAAGGAGCAGAGCGUGGACUGCCGGGCAGGGCUGGAAUUCGAGCGCUGGCUCAAUGCCACAGGCCCGCCGCUGGCUGAGCCGGACCUGUCUCAGGGAUCCAGCCUGACCCGGCCCGUGGAGGCCCUUUUCCAGCUGUGGACUGCAGAACCUCUGGACCAGGCAGCUGCCUCGGCCAGCGCCAUUGACAUCUCCAAGUGGAGGACCUUCCAGACAGCACUCUUCCUGGACCGGCUCCUGGAUGGGUCCCCACUGCCACAGGGUGGUGAUGAGCCUGUCCAAGUGCUACUCCUCCCUGCUGGACUCGAUGAACGCUGAGAUCCGCAUCCGCUGGCUGCAGAUCGUGGUCCGCAACGACUACUAUCCUGACCUCCACAGG